This 115-nucleotide non-coding RNA is filed under the name Alkaliphilus metalliredigens. RNAcentral's name for it is "TPP sequence". It matches the Rfam family "TPP riboswitch aptamer (THI element)". From Rfam's summary of the family: Vitamin B(1) in its active form thiamin pyrophosphate (TPP) is an essential coenzyme that is synthesised by coupling of pyrimidine and thiazole moieties in bacteria. The previously detected thiamin-regulatory element, thi box was extended, resulting in a new, highly conserved RNA secondary structure, the THI element, which is widely distributed in eubacteria and also occurs in some archaea. Analysis of operon structures identified a large number of new candidate thiamin-regulated genes, mostly transporters, in various prokaryotic organisms. RNAcentral also lists the same sequence under 1 other name. Lineage: Bacteria; Bacillati; Bacillota; Clostridia; Peptostreptococcales; Natronincolaceae. The record is from RNAcentral.
AACAAUCACUAGGGGAGCUGGAGAGGCCAGCUGAGAAAAAGACCUACCUGUCUUUGACCCUUAUUCUGAACCUGAUCUGGGUUAUACCAGCGUAGGGAAGUGAUCGUCGCCACUU